RNAcentral lists this ribosomal RNA (469 nucleotides) under uncultured bacterium. RNAcentral describes it as "partial 16S ribosomal RNA". It matches the Rfam family "Bacterial small subunit ribosomal RNA", at positions 28 to 507 of the family's 1533-position model. The record is from RNAcentral.
GACGAACGCUGGCGGCGUGCUUAACACAUGCAAGUCGAACGGAAAGGCCCUGCUUGCAGGGUGCUCGAGUGGCGAACGGGUGAGUAACACGUGGGUGAUCUGCCCCUUACUUUGGGAUAAGCCUGGGAAACUGGGUCUAAUACUGGAUAGGACCAUGCUGUAGGUGGUGUGGUGGAAAGAUUAGUUUCGGUAAGGGAUGAGCUCGCGGCCUAUCAGCUUGUUGGUGGGGUAAUGGCCGACCAAGGCGUCGACGGGUAGCCGGCCUGAGAGGGUGGACGGCCACAUUGGGACUGAGAUACGGCGCAGACUCCUACGGGAGGCAGCAGUGGGGAAGAUUGCACAAUGGGCGCAAGCCGGAUGAAGCGACGCCGCGGGGGGGAUGACGGCCUUCGGGUUGUAAACUCCUUUCAGCCAUGACGAAGCCCUUGUGGUGACGGUAGUGGUAGAAGAAGCACCGGCUAACUACGUG